Molecule: long non-coding RNA, 147 nt
Organism: Asparagus officinalis (garden asparagus)
Lineage: Eukaryota; Viridiplantae; Streptophyta; Magnoliopsida; Asparagales; Asparagaceae
Exons: 2
Source: RefSeq, a predicted model, not a curated record
AUUACAUCACCCAAACAUUGUAAUAUCAAUGUAGGUGGCAUUCCACACAGAAUUGCCUCGCCUAAACAUUACAUAAUUAAUUAAAAUAGGAUGCAUUCUCAGUUUGUUAUCAUCAUCACUGCCCAUCUAAAAAAACAUAAACCAAAA